This is a transfer RNA of Anolis carolinensis (green anole), 71 nucleotides long. It matches the Rfam family "tRNA". Rfam says of the family: Transfer RNA (tRNA) molecules are approximately 80 nucleotides in length. NCBI's taxonomy places the organism in Eukaryota, Metazoa, Chordata, Lepidosauria, Squamata, Anolidae. The record is from Rfam.
GCACCAGUGGUGUAGAGGCAUCAUGCGAGGUUCCCAAUCUUGUGACCCGGGUUCGAGUCCCGGCUGGUGCA